AAACCAAAGUAGGGGAUUUAACCUUACGCUUUUGGAUGAACCCAGAUGAGAUUAGCUUGUUGGUGAGGUAAAGGCUCACCAAGGCAACGAUCUCUAGCUGGUCUGAGAGGAUGGUCAGCCACACUGGAACUGAGACACGGUCCAGACUCCUACGGGAGGCAGCAGUGGGGAAUAUUGCACAAUGGGCGAAAGCCUGAUGCAGCUAUGCCGCGUGUAUGAAGAAGGCCUUAGGGUUGUAAAGUACUUUCAAUAGAGAAGAAAAAGUCUAAUAAUUUUAAUUCUUGACGUUACCUAUAAAAGAAGCACCGGCUAACUCCGUGCCAGCAGCCGCGGUAAUACGGAGGGUGCAAGCGUUAAUCAGAAUUACUGGGCGUAAAGAGCUCGUAGGCGGUUAUUUAAGUCAGAUGUGAAAUCCCUAAGCUCAACUUAGGAACAGCAUUUGAAACUGAUUAACUAGAGUAUCGUAGAGGGAGGUAGAAUUCUAGGUGUAGCGGUGAAAUGCGUAGAUAUCUGGAGGAAUACCUGUGGCGAAAGCGGCCUCCUAAACGAAUACUGACGCUGAGGUGCGAAAGCAUGGGGAGCAAACAGGAUUAGAUACCCUGGUAGUCCAUGCCGUAAACGAUGUCGACUUGGAGGUUGUUCCUUGAGGAGUGGCUUCCGAAGCUAACGCGUUAAGUCGACCGCCUGGGGAGUACGGUCGCAAGGCUAAAACUCAAAUGAAUUGACGGGGGCCCGCACAAGCGGUGGAGCAUGUGGUUUAAUUCGAUGCAACGCGAAAAACCUUACCUGGUCUUGACAUCCAUAGAAUUAUAUAGAAAUAUAUAAGUGCCCUAGGGAACUAUGAGACAGGUGCUGCAUGGCUGUCGUCAGCUCGUGUUGUGAAAUGUUGGGUUAAGUCCCGCAACGAGCGCAACCCUUGUUCUUUGUUGCCAACAGCUAGGCUGGGAACUCAGAGAAGACUGCCGGUUAUAAACCGGAGGAAGGUGGGGACGACGUCAAGUCAUCAUGGCCCUUACGACCAGGGCUACACACGUGCUACAAUGGCGUAUACAAAGAGAAGCAAAUCUGCGAAGACAAGCAAACCUCAUAAAGUACGUCGUAGUCCGGACUGGAGUCUGCAACUCGACUCCACGAAGUAGGAAUCUAUAGUAAUCGUGGAUCAGAAUGCCGCGGUGAAUACGUUCCCGGGCCUUGUACACACCGCCCGUCACACCAUGGGAGUGAGUGCAAAAGAAGCAGGUUAGC
RNAcentral lists this ribosomal RNA (1245 nucleotides) under Buchnera aphidicola (Neophyllaphis totarae). RNAcentral describes it as "bacterial SSU rRNA". It matches the Rfam family "Bacterial small subunit ribosomal RNA", at positions 198 to 1435 of the family's 1533-position model. Lineage: Bacteria; Pseudomonadati; Pseudomonadota; Gammaproteobacteria; Enterobacterales; Erwiniaceae. The record is from RNAcentral.